Molecule: long non-coding RNA, 553 nt
Organism: Sebastes umbrosus (honeycomb rockfish)
Lineage: Eukaryota; Metazoa; Chordata; Actinopteri; Perciformes; Sebastidae
Exons: 2
Source: RefSeq, a predicted model, not a curated record
UAAUCCAGUUCAGUCCAAUCUAGUCCAAUCCAAUCCAGCGAUCCUCCUCGUGUCCGCGUCUUAGCUCCUCCCGUACUCCAACAGCCGUCUGCCCGUCUCGGCCGUCUCUCCAGCACCGUCCGAAACUGUGAAAUAACAAGAGACCAGGACCAGUAGUGUGUUCUCCACUACUUUGCUAUCACAACUCCAGAUAAAAGCUAUCCUGGUCUGUUUUCAGUGUGUCCGCCACGUAAAUGUACCAAAAGGGUACUUACGUUUUUUUGAGUGAAUCUGCGUUGGCGGACACGGUCUGCUGCAUGUAGUCUCACAGGACUCUCAGGUCGCUGGGCUGGUAGGUAGUAGCAGGAGGGCUUUUCUGCUGCACUGCUGUCUCUGGACUGUCUCUGACUGAAGAUCUUCUCUUCUGCUGCGAGCCGUUCUCUCCUUUUGUGUCCUCUCCACCUGUGCUGCAUCCUGCUAAUUGCAGGCUCUCCGCCACACCUGCCGCUCCUCUCCUAAUCAGUCUUUGAUUGGGGGUGUGGCUGUCCAUGGGUCUCAUUCCAGUUCAUGACUU